CUGCUGCCUUCCGUAGGAGUCUGGGCCGUGUCUCAGUCCCAAUGUGGCCGUUCAACCUCUCAGUCCGGCUACUGAUCGUCGCCUUGGUGGGCCUUUACCCCGCCAACUAGCUAAUCAGCCGCGAGCUCAUCUUUGGGCGAUAAAUCUUUGGUAUGCUUCCCAUGCGAAAACCAUACAUUAUGCGGUAUUAGCGUCCGUUUCCAGACGUUAUCCCCCUCCCAAAGGCAGAUUGCUCACGUGUUACUCACCCGUCCG
RNAcentral lists this ribosomal RNA (255 nucleotides) under uncultured bacterium. RNAcentral's name for it is "partial 16S ribosomal RNA". The record is from RNAcentral.